RNAcentral lists this long non-coding RNA (767 nucleotides) under Carica papaya (papaya). Its description in RNAcentral is "long non-coding RNA (CPAP_LNC010274)". The record is from RNAcentral. Lineage: Eukaryota; Viridiplantae; Streptophyta; Magnoliopsida; Brassicales; Caricaceae.
AAAAUGAGUGAAAAUUUAGGUUCUGGGUGUAUUUUUGAAAGAAAAAUUGAAAACCGAUGGUCAAAACGUAAUUUAAAAAAAUUGUGCCACGUCAGCUGCCCGGUCAGUAGCCCCGGCCAACCAGGACGCAUCAGGCAGCAGAGAUGCUGACGCGGGAGGCCACACGGAAGGGAGCCACGUGGGCGAUCCACGUGCGCAUGAUCGAACUGCUGAGAUCCGUUCCCGCGCGCAUGGACGGCGCAGAUUGCAUCGCGCACGGACGAUCCAGAUUGAAUCGUGCACGGACGACCCAGAUUGAAUCGCGAUGAACGGUCCAGAUUCAUUCCUUAUUUAAUCACGAUCGAACGAUCUAGAUUAAAAGCGAUGCACGGUUGAGAUCAAAAGCGGAUUGGUAUAAAUAACCUCAUCUGCACCUAAACCCUAACCCUAGCCGCCAGAGCCCCUCGCCAGAGAAGAUAGCCCAGCCACCGGGGACCGAUCUCCGCCACUUGCCGCCGUACUGGAGCAAUUUCUGACUGCCAAACGAGGUAAAAAUUCUACCAUUUGCUCAGAAUUUGAUUCUAAACCCACCUAUGACCAAAUAAGAGCGAAAGCACCGGCCAAUUGGUCGAAAAAUACCGUCGAAGCAUAGCAGCACCACCGCGAGGUGUCUCAAUUUUUGCCUCCGAUAAGGUCCUUUCCGAUUCCCGUUCGAUAUGAUUUUUCCACCGUUGUGAUCACCGUUUCCUCAUCUACAGGUUGACCGGAGCAAAACACCCAACCGUGAC